GUGCUUACUUCAGCAGCACAUAUAGUAAAACUGGAACGAUACAGAGAAGAUUAUUAGCAUGGCCCUGAGCAAGGAUGACAUGCAAAUUCGUGGAGCUUGCCAUAUUUAA
Eptesicus fuscus (big brown bat) is the source of this 109-nucleotide small nuclear RNA. The record is from RefSeq and is a predicted model, not a curated record. NCBI's taxonomy places the organism in Eukaryota, Metazoa, Chordata, Mammalia, Chiroptera, Vespertilionidae.